UUUUUUCGAACAACCUUGAAUUAAAUUACUGCAAUAAUAAUAAAAAUAAUAUAUAUAUGCUCAACUCUAAUAUCUUUUUCUUCGAAUCGAGCUCGAGAAAGAGAUCGUUAAUUCUCGAAUGACCGUCUUAUCUCUUCCUCCCCUCCACGGAUACGCUUAGAAAAAUAAGCAAUAUUGGAGAAUAAAAGAGAGGGAGAGAAGGUAAAAGAAAGAGAAGAUAUAUAAUAUUCAUCGGAAAGAAAACGUUUUCGAGGAGAAAAAACGCGAGAAACGGAGGGGAAAUACGUUAGUAACUCUCGAACUAUGUUUAAAGAGAGGGGGGAGAGCUCGUAAAAGCUGGUCGCGCAAAGUUUUGAUGAACAACACGAGAUAAGUCGUAAGAUACCUCGUGGCCGGAUAAUCAAAUAUAUCCCCUUCCCUGCAAUUUCUCCUCGACAAACUCGCGGAAUCGAGUCGAGUCGAGUCGAGUCGAGUCGAGUCGAGUCGAGUCGAAUGGAAAAAAAAGAAAGGAAGGAGCGAGGAAAUCGACGCGCAUUCGCCUUCGAGGCCGGAAACGGGAACGAAACCGGAAGUAGUAGGCGAGUGAACCUCUUUCUUUUUUUUUUUUUUUUUUUUUUUAUUCUCUCCCUCGUGUUACGACGGAGAAUCAACAUUCGAGCGAUCGAAAAGUUAAAAUGUUGUUUCGAUUACUCGGCGACUUGGAGCCUGUUGAUAUUGGUAACUCGGCGAAAAGAGCAGAUCCUGUGUUAAAUAAGCAAUGGUGGAGGAAAGUAACUUGAUGUUUGCCACUCUCGUGAUUCGUUCGGCAAGAGAGAGAGAGAGAGAGAAAGAAAGAGAAAGAGAGCGUGUAAUCAAAGUUAGCCUCGUGAGAAGUGAAGGACCCGCUUUUUAUACAGUUGAAAUUAGAU
Long non-coding RNA from Apis dorsata (giant honeybee), 908 nucleotides. RefSeq lists it as uncharacterized. The record is from RefSeq and is a predicted model, not a curated record. The transcript has 2 exons. NCBI's taxonomy places the organism in Eukaryota, Metazoa, Arthropoda, Insecta, Hymenoptera, Apidae.